UACGUAGGGGGCAAGCGUUGUCCGGAUUUAUUGGGCGUAAAGCGCUCGCAGGUGGUUCGUCGCGUCGUGCGUGAAAGACCCCGGCUCAACUGGGGGGUGUCGUGCGAUACGGGCGGACUGGAGGCCAGUAGGGGGAUGCGGAAUUCCGGGUGUAGUGGUGGAAUGCGCAGAUAUCAGGAGGAACACCGGUGGCGAAGGCGGAUCUCUGGGCCUUACCUGACGCUGAGGCGCGAAAGCUAGGGGAGCAAACAGG
RNAcentral lists this ribosomal RNA (253 nucleotides) under uncultured bacterium. RNAcentral describes it as "partial 16S ribosomal RNA". It matches the Rfam family "Bacterial small subunit ribosomal RNA", at positions 524 to 776 of the family's 1533-position model. The record is from RNAcentral.